GGAGUUAGCCGGUGCUUCUUCUGUGAGUGAUGUCCUUCCUGCCGGCUAUUAACCCGCAGGCCUUCUUCCUCACUGAAAGUGCUUUACAACCCGAAGGCCUUCUUCACACACGCGGCAUGGCUGGAUCAGGGUUGCCCCCAUUGUCCAAUAUUCCCCACUGCUGCCUCCCGUAGGAGUCUGGGCCGUGUCUCAGUCCCAGUGUGGCUGAUCAUCCUCUCAGACCAGCUACGGAUCGUCGCCUUGGUGAGCCGUUACCUCACCAACCAGCUAAUCCGACAUAGGCUCAUCCGAUAGCGCGAGGCCCGAAGGUCCCCCGCUUUCCCCCGUAGGGCGUAUGCGGUAUUAGCCUGGGUUUCCCCAGGUUAUCCCCCACUACCGGGCAGAUUCCUAUGCAUUACUCACCCGUCCGCCGCUCGCCACCAGGGAGCAAGCUCCCCGUGCUGCCGCUCGACUUGCAUGUGUAGCUCGCGCACGCGUCAUCUGAGCGAGAUACAACUACUGA
Molecule: ribosomal RNA, 502 nt
Filed under: uncultured bacterium
Lineage: Bacteria
Description: partial 16S ribosomal RNA
Source: RNAcentral